AGCUUUGCGCAGUGGCAGUAUCGUAGCCAAUGAGGUUUAUCCAAGGCGCGAUUAUUGCUAAUUGAAAUGAGGCCAUCUAAGAAACUACUUAAUCCCUUACCUUACUUACUCCUGUUAAAUUAAUUAUAUAAGGAGGUCAUUAGACUGA
Molecule: small nuclear RNA, 148 nt
Organism: Zalophus californianus (California sea lion)
Lineage: Eukaryota; Metazoa; Chordata; Mammalia; Carnivora; Otariidae
Gene: U4
Rfam family: U4 spliceosomal RNA
About the family: U4 small nuclear RNA (U4 snRNA) is a component of the major U2-dependent spliceosome. The structure of U4 snRNA from yeast and human has been reported.
Source: Ensembl